This 498-nucleotide long non-coding RNA is filed under the name Salmo salar (Atlantic salmon). RNAcentral describes it as "lncRNA (ENSSSAG00000082717.1)". The record is from RNAcentral. Lineage: Eukaryota; Metazoa; Chordata; Actinopteri; Salmoniformes; Salmonidae.
ACCCUGGUGCAGCUAACGCGGCAUCAUUAAUGCUGUGAUCCCCACUCUGUGUCUCUGAUUCUAGGAGCAAAUGUCUAUACUGCCCACCGGCGUCUGUAUUAGAGGUCUUCACGGAUCCACCUGUACCCGAAUACCUGAGACCCAAUCUUCCCCGUGCAGUUUGCCAGCUGCUGUGUGUCUGUGAAGAACUCCCUGACCAGUGUCUUGAGUUGCCAUGGAGAUAUGACUGCUUCUGUUGAGUAGCUCUGAGACAUGAAGGACCUGAGCCCUAGGACCAUGCCUCAGGACUACCUGGUAUGAUGACUCCUUGCUGUCCCCAGUCCACCUGGCCGUGCUGCUGCUCCAGUUUCAACUGUUCUGCCUGCGGCUAUGGAACCCUGACCUGUUCACCGGACGUGCUUGUUGCACCCUCGACAACUACUAUGAUUAUUAUUAUUUGACCAUGCUGGUCAUUUAUGAACAUUUUAACAUUUUAACAUCUUGACUAUGUUCUGUUAU